ACUGGAAUUUAGUCCGAUGGCUUCAUUCUCCUGACUAGAGAAGGGUAUGCGGGCAGAAAGCAGGUUAUUCUUUCUGCUUUCCUGUCUUUUCAGCUUCUCCCGAAUAGCCUUGCGCUCUCCUCUCCCCGGCUCUCUCCUCCUUAUCAGUGCAUGGCCACGAGCUGGGAGAUUCCUAAAGUUCUGUUGUCUCUCAGAACAAAACAGAACACUCCAACCAAAUUUGAACAGAACCAUUGACAACAUUUACAAUUCUAUUACGUAUCAGUUUUCCUGCCUGGCAUUUAUUUGAGGAAAGGAUCUCUCGGAUAUGAGGGAGUUGGUUUUGGAAAAUUAAAUCAGACGGGCUAAAACGAUGAUGUGACUCGCAAGAAGAAAGAGGAUCAUUGUGUGAUAGGGGAAUUAUUUUUGGAGCGCUCAUUUUCAUGACUCCCAGUGCACAGAGGAGAAAACAUAUGGACGGUGUUGCUAAUUUAGGCCUGUGCUGGCUGCAGGCUCUGGAUGGAGGUUCCGCACAACUCUUCUUUGGUCUCCAUUUUUGAAUGGAAGGUUGCAGGAGACGUUGUCCGAGAUGGGAGACCGUGUCCUGCGAUCAAGCAGCAGAGUUAACGUAGGGAGUCUUCACCGUGGCUACCAGCAGGUCCACAUCUGUCUCCCGGAAGCACAAAAACCACAUCCUGGCUUGACAUGCUUCAGUUAACAAGAACAAUUAACCAGAAGCAGAACUAAAGAGCCAACAAGCAAGAUGUUGUUACUGUUAUUUUACCCUCCUCCUUCUUUCU
This is a non-coding RNA of Myodes glareolus (Bank vole), 779 nucleotides long. The record is from RefSeq and is a predicted model, not a curated record. NCBI's taxonomy places the organism in Eukaryota, Metazoa, Chordata, Mammalia, Rodentia, Cricetidae.